This 497-nucleotide ribosomal RNA is filed under the name uncultured bacterium. RNAcentral describes it as "bacterial SSU rRNA". It matches the Rfam family "Bacterial small subunit ribosomal RNA", at positions 791 to 1286 of the family's 1533-position model. The record is from RNAcentral.
UAGUCCGCACCGUAAACGAUGAGAGCUAGUUGUCUGCAAGCAUGCUUGUAGGUGACGCAGCUAACGCAUUAAGCUCUCCGCCUGGGGAGUACGGUCGCAAGAUUAAAACUCAAAGAAAUUGACGGGGGCCCGCACAAGCGGUGGAGCAUGUGGUUUAAUUCGAAGCAACGCGCAGAACCUUACCUACCCUUGACAUGCCGGUCGCGAUUUCCAGAGAUGGAUUUCUUCAAUUCGGUUGGACCGUGCACAGGUGCUGCAUGGCCGUCGUCAGCUCGUGUCGUGAGAUGUUGGGUUAAGUCCCGCAACGAGCGCAACCCUCACUUUUAGUUGCCAGCAUUUAGUUGGGCACUCUAGAAGAACUGCCGGUGCAAGCCGAGAGGAAGGUGGGGAUGACGUCAAAUCAUCAUGGCCUUUAUGCCCAGGGCUACACACGUGCUACAAUGGACAGGACAAAGGGUCGCCAAACCGCGAGGUGGAGCUAAUCCCAGAAACCUGUU